RNAcentral lists this ribosomal RNA (254 nucleotides) under uncultured bacterium. Its description in RNAcentral is "partial 16S ribosomal RNA". It matches the Rfam family "Bacterial small subunit ribosomal RNA", at positions 524 to 776 of the family's 1533-position model. The record is from RNAcentral.
UACGGGGGGAGCAAGCGUUGUUCGGAUUUACUGGGCGUAAAGGGCGCGUAGGCGGUCGUGACAAGUCACUUGUGAAAUCUCCGGGCUUAACUCGGAACGGUCAAGUGAUACUGUCGGACUAGAGUACAGAAGGGGCAACUGGAGUUCUCGGUGUAGCGGUGAAAUGCGUAGAUAUCGAGAGGAACACCUGCGGCGAAGGCGGGUUGCUGGGCUGAUACUGACGCUGAGGCGCGAAAGCCAGGGGAGCGAACGGG